AGUUUUCGGAUGGAAGACUGUAAUUCUUAGUGGCGGACGGGUGAGUAACGCGUGGGCAACCUGCCCUAUACAGGGGGAUAGCAGCUGGAAACGGCUGGUAAGACCGCAUAAGUCGGCGAGACCGCAUGGUUUUGUCGGGAAAUGAGCAAUCAGGUAUAGGAUGGGCCCGCGUCCGAUUAGCCAGUUGGCAGGGUAAAAGCCUACCAAAGCAACGAUCGGUAGCCGGACUGAGAGGUCGGACGGCCACAUUGGGACUGAGACACGGCCCAAACUCCUACGGGAGGCAGCAGUGGGGGAUAUUGCACAAUGGAGGAAACUCUGAUGCAGCGACGCCGCGUGAGUGAAGAAGUAUUUCGGUAUGUAAAGCUCUAUCAGCAGGGAAGAUGAUGACGGUACCUGACUAAGAAGCCCCGGCUAACUACGUGCCAGCAGCCGCGGUAAUACGUAGGGGGCAAGCGUUAUCCGGAUUUACUGGGUGUAAAGGGAGCGCAGGCGGUUUGGCAAGUUGAGAGUGGAAGCAGGGGGCUCAACCCCCUGACUGCUCCCAAAACUGUUAAACUUGAGUAUGGGAGAGGCAGGCGGAAUUCCUAGUGUAGCGGUGAAAUGCUUAGAUAUUAGGAAGAACACCGGUGGCGAAGGCGGCCUGCUGGACCAAAACUGACGCUGAGGCUCGAAAGCGUGGGUAGCAAACAGGAUUAGAUACCCUGGUAGUCCACGCUGUAAACGAUGAAUACUAGGUGCUGGGAGGCAUAAGCCUUUCGGUGCCGUC
This 769-nucleotide ribosomal RNA is filed under the name uncultured Catonella sp. RNAcentral's name for it is "bacterial SSU rRNA". It matches the Rfam family "Bacterial small subunit ribosomal RNA", at positions 72 to 850 of the family's 1533-position model. The record is from RNAcentral. Lineage: Bacteria; Bacillati; Bacillota; Clostridia; Lachnospirales; Lachnospiraceae.